CAGCAGCCGCGGUAAUACGUAGGUGGCAAGCGUUGUCCGGAAUUAUUGGGCGUAAAGCGCGCGCAGGUGGUUUAAUAAGUCCGAUGUGAAAGCCCACGGCUCAACCGUGGAGGGUCAUUGGAAACUGUUAAACUUGAGUGCAGGAGAGAAAAGUGGAAUUCCUAGUGUAGCGGUGAAAUGCGUAGAGAUUAGGAGGAACACCAGUGGCGAAGGCGGCUCUCUGGACUGUAACUGACGCUGAGGCGCGAAAGCGUGGGGAGCAAACAGGAUUAGAUACCCCCGUAGUCCCUGUCUCUUAUAC
This 301-nucleotide ribosomal RNA is filed under the name uncultured bacterium. RNAcentral's name for it is "partial 16S ribosomal RNA". It matches the Rfam family "Bacterial small subunit ribosomal RNA", at positions 509 to 807 of the family's 1533-position model. The record is from RNAcentral.